ACACCGUAACAGUUUACUCCCCUUGUCCUUCAAACCCCAAGCCAUGUAGGAAUCCACGGCUUCUCACAUGUAAGCCAUUACUGGAGCAGUUGAGUGGCUACAGCUGCUGCAGUCAGGAAUAGCAUCUGACUCACCAAUGCCAAGCCUUUGGUUGCUGUGAAGAUUGUUCAGUGAAGACUGACUAUUGUUCACCCUGGAAGAACCUGGCUGUGUGCUGGGCUGCAGCACAUUUUGGGUGCUGUAGCCAUCAAAUGUGGGAAGGUGCACAGUUAUCUGGUGUUUGGACCUCCUC
Molecule: long non-coding RNA, 292 nt
Organism: Mus musculus (house mouse)
Lineage: Eukaryota; Metazoa; Chordata; Mammalia; Rodentia; Muridae
Product: predicted gene, 34486
Exons: 3
Source: RefSeq, a predicted model, not a curated record